RNAcentral lists this ribosomal RNA (468 nucleotides) under uncultured bacterium. Its description in RNAcentral is "partial 16S ribosomal RNA". It matches the Rfam family "Bacterial small subunit ribosomal RNA", at positions 28 to 507 of the family's 1533-position model. The record is from RNAcentral.
GACGAACGCUGGCGGCGUGCUUAACACAUGCCAGUCGAACGGAAAGGCCCUGCUUUUGUGGGGUGCUCGAGUGGCGAACGGGUGAGUAACACGUGAGUAACCUGCCCUUGACUUUGGGAUAACUUCAGGAAACUGGGGCUAAUACCGGAUAGGAGCUCCUGCUGCAUGGGGGGGGUUGGAAAGCUUCGGCGGUUGGGGAUGGACUCGCGGCUUAUCAGCUUGUUGGUGGGGUAGUGGCUUACCAAGGCUUUGACGGGUAGCCGGCCUGAGAGGGUGACCGGCCACAUUGGGACUGAGAUAAGGCACAGACUCCUACGGGAGGCAGCAGUGGGGAAUAUUGCACAAUGGGCGGAAGCCUGAUGCAGCAACGCCGCGUGCGGGAUGACGGCCUUCGGGUUGUAAACCGCUUUCGCCUGUGACGAAGCGUGAGUGACGGUAAUGGGUAAAGAAGCACCGGCUAACUACGUG